AACCGGAUUAGAUACCCUUGUAGUCCACGCCGUAAACGAUGAGUGCUAAGUGUUGGAGGGGUUUCCGCCCUUCAGUGCUGCAGCAAACGCAUUAAGCCUCCGCCUGGGGAGUACGACCGCAAGGUUGAAACUCAAAGGAAUUGACGGGGGCCCGCACAAGCGGUGGAGCAUGUGGUUUAAUUCGAAGCAACGCGAAGAACCUUACCAGGUCUUGACAUCCUUUGACCACUCUAGAGAUAGAGCUUCCCCUUCGGGGGCAAAGUGACAGGUGGUGCAUGGUUGUCGUCAGCUCGUGUCGUGAGAUGUUGGGUUAAGUCCCGCAACGAGCGCAACCCUUAUUGUUAGUUGCCAUCAUUUAGUUGGGCACUCUAGCGAGACUGCCGGUGACAAACCGGAGGAAGGUGGGGAUGACGUCAAAUCAUCAUGCCCCUUAUGACCUGGGCUACACACGUGCUACAAUGGGAAGUACAACGAGUUGCGAAGUCGCGAGGUUAAGCUAAUCUCUUAAAGCUUCUCUCAGUUCGGAUUGUAGGCUGCAACUCGCCUACAUGAAGCUUUU
This 559-nucleotide ribosomal RNA is filed under the name uncultured Enterococcus sp. RNAcentral's name for it is "bacterial SSU rRNA". It matches the Rfam family "Bacterial small subunit ribosomal RNA", at positions 771 to 1330 of the family's 1533-position model. Lineage: Bacteria; Bacillati; Bacillota; Bacilli; Lactobacillales; Enterococcaceae. The record is from RNAcentral.